CAGGUUGAGCCCAGGGCUUUCACAACGGACUUAAACGACCACCUACGCACGCUUUACGCCCAGUAAUUCCGAGUAACGCUUGCACCCUUCGUAUUACCGCGGCUGCUGGCACGAAGUUAGCCGGUGCUUAUUCUUUGGGUACCGUCAUCCCAACCGGGUAUUAGCCAGCUGGAUUUCUUUCCCAACAAAAGGGCUUUACAACCCGAAGGCCUUCUUCACCCACGCGGUAUGGCUGGAUCAGGCUUGCGCCCAUUGUCCAAUAUUCCCCACUGCUGCCUCCCGUAGGAGUCUGGACCGUGUCUCAGUUCCAGUGUGGCUGAUCAUCCUCUCAGAC
This 334-nucleotide ribosomal RNA is filed under the name uncultured bacterium. Its description in RNAcentral is "partial 16S ribosomal RNA". The record is from RNAcentral.